Molecule: transfer RNA, 62 nt
Filed under: Conostigmus sp. MM-2013
Lineage: Eukaryota; Metazoa; Arthropoda; Insecta; Hymenoptera; Megaspilidae
Description: tRNA-Cys
Source: RNAcentral
AAUUUAAUAGUUUAUAUAAAAUUUAAAAUUGCAAAUUUUAAGAAAUUAAAAGAUUUAAAUUU